UGCAAGCCGAGCGGUAGAGAUUCUUCGGAAUCUUGAGAGCGGCGCACGGGUGCGGAACACGUGUGCAACCUGCCUUUAUCUGGGGGAUAGCCUUUCGAAAGGGAGAUUAAUACCCCAUAAUAUAAUGAGUGGCAUCGCUUAUUAUUGAAAACCCCGGUGGAUAGAGAUGGGCACGCGCAAGAUUAGAUAGUUGGUGAGGUAACGGCUCACCAAGUCAAUGAUCUUUAGGGGGCCUGAGAGGGUGAUCCCCCACACUGGUACUGAGACACGGACCAGACUCCUACGGGAGGCAGCAGUGAGGAAUAUUGGACAAUGGGUGAGAGCCUGAUCCAGCCAUCCCGCGUGAAGGACGACGGCCCUAUGGGUUGUAAACUUCUUUUGUACAGGGAUAAACCUUUCCACGUGUGGAAAGUUGAAGGUACUGUACGAAUAAGCACCGGCUAACUCCGUGCCAGCAGCCGCGGUAAUACGGAGGGUGCAAGCGUUAUCCGGAUUUAUUGGGUUUAAAGGGUCCGUAGGCGGAUCUGUAAGCCAGUGGUGGAAUCUCAUAGCUUAACUAUGAAACUGCCAUUGAUACUGCAGGUCUUGAGUAAGGUAGAAGUAGCUGGAAUAAGUAGUGUAGCG
This 624-nucleotide ribosomal RNA is filed under the name uncultured bacterium. RNAcentral describes it as "bacterial SSU rRNA". It matches the Rfam family "Bacterial small subunit ribosomal RNA", at positions 56 to 680 of the family's 1533-position model. The record is from RNAcentral.